RNAcentral lists this ribosomal RNA (492 nucleotides) under uncultured bacterium. Its description in RNAcentral is "partial 16S ribosomal RNA". It matches the Rfam family "Bacterial small subunit ribosomal RNA", at positions 29 to 507 of the family's 1533-position model. The record is from RNAcentral.
AGUGAACGCUGGCGGGAGGAAGAACACAUGCAAGUCGAACGGCAGCACAGUAAGAGCUUGCUCUUACGGGUGGCGAGUGGCGGACGGGUGAGGAAUGCAUCGGAAUCUACUUUUUCGUGGGGGAUAACGUAGGGAAACUUACGCUAAUACCGCAUACGACCUACGGGUGAAAGCAGGGGAUCUUCGGACCUUGCGCGAUUGAAUGAGCCGAUGUCGGAUUAGCUAGUUGGCGGGGUAAAGGCCCACCAAGGCGACGAUCCGUAGCUGGUCUGAGAGGAUGAUCAGCCACACUGGAACUGAGACACGGUCCAGACUCCUACGGGAGGCAGCAGUGGGGAAUAUUGGACAAUGGGCGCAAGCCUGAUCCAGCCAUACCGCGUGGGUGAAGAAGGCCUUCGGGUUGUAAAGCCCUUUUGUUGGGAAAGAAAAGCAGCAGGUUAAUACCCCGCUGUUCUGACGGUACCCAAAGAAUAAGCACCGGCUAACUUCGUG